AUGGCCAGAGAGGCAGCAGCCACUAGCCGCCGCGUGGCUCCCAUGGCCGGCUCUCCGGUGCGCCGCCACGUGACCUCGCCUGUGCGGACAACAUCGUGGAGCCGGCGAGCUGGCAUCCAGUGGAUCCGCGUCGCAGGGGAAGGAUGGGGGAUGCGGGGCGACUUGGGAGGCGGCAGCCGUGGAAUCCGCCGGAGUACCUGCCGUCGGGAGAGAGAGAUUUUUUUUUUUGACAUGGAACAACAUCGAGAGAGAGAUGAGGAGGAAGAAGAAGAAAAUAGGGAAAAAAGAUGGGAGGCUGACAGGUGGGCUUUCCGUCCACAUCAGCGUAUUGUCCAUAUAGGUACGUCAAGUCAGCCUGACAGGUGGGGCCUACUUGUCAGUUUUCUUGUUUUCGCGACUAAAUUAGACAAUCAGUGCUCCGCGUUACGGGUUAUGCACAAUUUUGAUGGUUUUCUAUGCCCUGACGUAAAUGUGGUACCAAAGUUGUUAUCCUAG
RNAcentral lists this ribosomal RNA (495 nucleotides) under Triticum aestivum (bread wheat). Its description in RNAcentral is "partial small subunit ribosomal RNA". The record is from RNAcentral. Lineage: Eukaryota; Viridiplantae; Streptophyta; Magnoliopsida; Poales; Poaceae.